RNAcentral lists this ribosomal RNA (861 nucleotides) under Travassostrongylus orloffi. RNAcentral describes it as "partial 16S ribosomal RNA". The record is from RNAcentral. Lineage: Eukaryota; Metazoa; Nematoda; Chromadorea; Rhabditida; Trichostrongylidae.
AUAAGAUUAAUUUAUUUAUUUUUAGGUAUUGCAUACCAUUAAAAAAAAAUUUUAUUUAUAUAAAAUAUAGAAAUAAAGAGUAGAAUUUGUAUUAAUUAUAUUGUUACAUAAUAUUAAUUAUAUAAAUUAGUGUUGAAAAGUCGUUCUUUAUUAUAACUGUUUUGUUUAAUGUAUUAGAAAUUUAUAUUUGUUGUUAUUUAUUGUUAUAAUUAUAUAAUUUGAAGUGUUAUAUUUUCUAGUUUUAUAACUGUUUAUUGUUUUUAUAAAUUUUGCUUUGUUAUUUUAUUAUUAAAUUUUUAAUAAUUAUAUAAUUUUUAAAUUAGUAGAUUAAUUUUUAAGUUAUUUUUUUUUUUAAUAUGACUAGAGAAAUCAAAUUUUAAUCAAAUGUUUUUUAAAGACUUAGACUUUAAUUUAAAGUUUGCUUCUGCCCAGUGAUAAUAUUAAAUGGCAGUCUUAGCGUGAGGACAUUAAGGUAGCAAAAUAAUUUGUGCUUUUAUUGAGUUCCAGUAUGAAUGAGUUAUUGGUUAAUUGUUUUCUUGUCUUAUUAUUGAAUUUUUUUUUGUAUAAAAAAUUACAAUUGUAAUUAAACAAAGAUAAGUCUUCGGAAAUUCUUUUUUAAUAUUAAUAUUUUUUAUUAGUAUUAAAAAUUUUCUAGGGCAGAAAUUUAUAUAAUUUAUAAUUUCUAUUAAUAAAUUAUAGAAUUACUCCGGAGUUAACAGAAAAUCAUAUCAGAUCUAGUUCUUAUAGUAUGAUAAGUUUUACAUCGAUGUUGUAUUUAAGUAUAUUAAAAAAGGAGAAGAUUUAAAUAUUAAGACUGUUCUUCUUUUAAUUAGCUUAACGUGAUAUUAGUUUAAUUCAUUG